This 1017-nucleotide ribosomal RNA is filed under the name Triticum aestivum (bread wheat). RNAcentral describes it as "partial small subunit ribosomal RNA". The record is from RNAcentral. Lineage: Eukaryota; Viridiplantae; Streptophyta; Magnoliopsida; Poales; Poaceae.
AUGCUCAAGUCACUGAUGCACCCGGGCAUAAAAUGGGCACACGACAGCGGCCUAAAUUUAGCAUUACGAGAUCAAGUCACGGGGAAUGUUCAAGAAAGUCAAGGAGUUUUCCCCGAGACCUCGAACCAAGAACGGCACAGCACAGAAACCGUCGCAACGGAACGGGGGAAAUGGCGGAGAAGCGGCGUGGACUGGCGCGUUACCGAUGCUGAACUCGAAGACGACGACGACGGUGAGGAUGGCCCAGACGGAGUGGCUGACGAUGUCGCGCGGCUCGCGGAGGAAGACGAGGAAGGAGAUGAGGGCGAGCGCGAGGCCGACCUUGGCCGCGAAGACGGGCUUCCGGCGGUCGGCCCGCGCGAACGCCCACAUCUCGGCCACCCCGUCGCAGAGCGAGCCCCACGCCCCCGCCACGGCGGCGCCGGCGCGGCGAAGCAGCCCCUGCUUGGGCCCCCCGUCGCCGCCGCCGGCCUGGGAGCCCGGCAGGCUCCACGCCGACGAGAGCAGCGGGACGUCCCCCCGCGCGCCCCGCUGGUCCUCCAGCGUCGACCACAGCGACCCCAGCUGCGCCGGCGGCACGCCCGCCGCGCCCGCGGCCAUGGCCGGACGGAUCUGCGAGACGCUCGCUUCUGGAAGGAGGGCGUCGCGCGCGCGCGGGUUCGGAUUUCAGGGUGCGCAGUGUUGCUCUCGGCCUUUCUUGGUCGGCUGCGCCCGCGUGUCGCGCUCUCGGCUAUAUGGAUGGACUCUGGUCAGCCGUGGCGUCACCCCGGCGGCUGCCGCGCGACGCGAAAAGCUGCAGAGCCGGGGAAGGGACGGGAGGAAAACGCCAUGGGUGGCAAAGGCCGCAUUUUUAUAUGGCGGGAUGGAAUCCAGCGAGCGGCUGGCCGCCGUGCGAUGCGAUCCGCUGCGAGAGGUGCAAGGCCACGCAGGGCAGAAUUGAUCCGUCCCUUUCUUGUGAUCCGGGCGCGCGUGGGGUUGAGCCGUCCUUGUGCCCCGUUGUCGGAUUGGUCGGUCUGA